GUGCUUGCUUUGGCAGUAUAUAUUCUAAAAUUGGAAUGAUACAGUCAAAAUUAGCCUGGUCCCUGCACAAAAAUAACACACAAAUUCAUGAAGCAUUCCAUACCGGG
Molecule: small nuclear RNA, 107 nt
Organism: Phascolarctos cinereus (koala)
Lineage: Eukaryota; Metazoa; Chordata; Mammalia; Diprotodontia; Phascolarctidae
Source: Ensembl